GUCUGGACUUUUUCAAGGGUUAAAACAUGAUUUAAAAUAAGUCUGAACUUGAUUUAUUUUUUGGAUUGAGAGGGUUAUUUGAAGCAGUAGCAAAUAAUUCAUGCAGAAACACAAAAAAAGCACAGACUAGUCCUUUUUUUUCUGGUAAAAUGCCUGAAAAUUACCAGGAUUUAAUCUGUUCAGGUGAAGGUGCAGCUCCAUGUUUCGCCACAAGGGGGCGGCACUUCCUCUUUACAUGCAGCCCGUAAAAGUGAUGUUAAUGUAACAGGAUGAGAUUAAUAUUUUCUGCUCCUUAAUCACAGAGGAGCAGAGUGGUGCUUUCCCUGCUGAAUGUGUGUUUUUCUUAAACUGUAAAGUUUCUUAUUUACUACGACUUCCUUGUUUCUCUUUCAGUCAUUUUUCAGAUUGAAUAGAGUCUGCAGAAGUGACUUUGAACAGGAAAGCAGCAAAGAAAACAGAAAACAAAAGACGGAAACCGAGGAAUUGAACAUGGAGGAGCAAAGAAAUCUACAAACUACAGACGAGUAGAUUUGUGCGAGUGACUGAGAGUGAGUUUUGUUCAUGAAAAGAGAAGUGAUGCUGAAGUCAGUGAACAUGUUUGAACUCUCAGUGAUCAGACCGCACAGCUCACAUGUGCUCUCAGUCUGGUUCAGUCUGAUGAAGAUCAGUCCGCUCAUUAACUGCCUUUUUGUGGUUUCAGAGGAGAUCAAACGCUGAGAGUUCAGAUCGCACAGAGAGACUAAAACCACCAGAGAGGAACACGACUCUCAGUCUGAGGACACCUCUGCGGCACACCUGUCUGCAGGACUUUUACAACUAGAAUAAAGUGACAGAGUCCAGGACCCGAGGUCAACAGUCUUGUCCGGUCUACCUCCGUUUUAAGCGCCCGUUAUUCCUCCAGAGUCUCCGGUAUUUACUUUGUUUUCUCGCUUGUGUCGGCAGUCGUGGCCAAAGGAGGAUUCAGACAAUUUUCCGAACUUUCUGGUUGGUUUCUACUGUCCGAUAUUGUAGCACGCUAACUUUGUUUGGGCUCCUGAACGACACGAGGGAGCAGCGUCUGCCUCACAACCAAUCAGGUUAGAGGAGGUGGAGAACGGCUUUAUUUACAGUCAGAAAGGGCGGACCGCUCAAAAAUGUUCAAAUGUUGACGACACAGACAUAAGAGAACACAGAGAUAUCGAUAUAUUACCAAAUGUCAUCAAUAACUAAUAACUAUUGACUGAUAUUAAAAGCUCUUUUUUAAAACCCCACCUUUUGAAAAAAAUAAAAGUCUUUUCUUAUAGAAGCAGCAGGUCUUCACUCUGGAGGCGGUCAUGUUUUGUAAAAUAGUAAUAAUGAAAUAAAAACCUUCAUGAAUAACCAAGAAUAAAGUUCAUCUCAGGAUAAAACCCAAACUUCUCUGCAUGAUCUCUGAGAGGAAAACAGCGGAUGAGUGUUUUAACAGAGUGGAUUUGUCUUCUGCAGUGGAAGGAAGGAGAAACAUUCAUCUUUUCGUCUCUUAAAGAGAGUCAGCUGCAGACCACUUGUUCCUCUCAAUCUCAGAUAGGAAACGCUGUGAUUUGGCAGCCGAAGACUUAACGUGGUUUCAGUCAGAGAAAACCGCAGCAUGUGGACACCAGACGCACUCGCACACUCCUCAUAUACCUGCUUUUUUACACGGCGUCCACUGAGGGGCGGAAAACUCCGGUUUGAGCUUUUUUAUCACCGCUAAGAAAUCAGAUUAUUCUCGUUUUAGAUCAGCUCCUUCAGAAUUGGAUUAGAGAAUAAAUGAGCAGAAAUGUGCUGCAAAUGCUGUCAGAGCGUGACCAAGUUUAAACCAGAUUAUCAUGAAGCUCCUCUCUCAGGAGGAUUAGAUUAUGAUGAUGAAGAGGAAGGAUUUUUGAGGAGGACUCUGACGUUUCCUCUCUACCUGUGUGUCUCUGCAUGAUGGGAUACUUAUAUAAUGUGGAUUUACAUUGAGUGUGUGAGUGUGUGUGUGUGUGUGCUGAGGAGGUCAGUAGGUCCGGCUGAGGUGGAGGAAGAUCCACAAUGACAGGAAGAAAGUCUGCAGACGUGAACACAAAGCUGUUAUGAUGCUGCUGCUUCCUCCGGCUGCACCUCGCCGAGUCGCCCCCAUUUCAUCAAAACACACAAACCCAGUUUCUGUCGAAGCAGAUUUGUUAAACUCAAACUAAACCGGGGUUAGUCUCUGCAUCCCGGAAAUAACAGGAAGUUUAGAAUGUAGUUUUUGUUUUUUAAUAAAGGACGACAAACAAGGAAGCAACAUUAAAAAAAGGAGAGACGGAUGAGGAUGUCAAAGAGGAGGAAGGACGACGCCAACAAGAUCGCCGUCUGAGUUUGAUUCAGAAAUAAACACGAAAACAUGAAGCGUCACAAGAGUCAGAGACACCCAAACAGGAAGUGACCUCAUUCUGCGAGAUAUCUGGAAACUUUAUAAAACUUAAAAUAAGUUUUUGACAACUUCUGAUCCUUGAAUCCUCACUUCAUCUACUUCUCCUCACUCGUUUCCUCACUUCUCCUGGCCUUGUUUCCUUACCUGUCUCCUUCGUACCUCUCCUAUCUCCUAUACUGGCCUUCUUUUACUCCCUGUAUUUCACCUCAUUUCCUUUCCUCUCUUGUUUCCUUAUCUCCUUCCUCCUGUGCUUCCAACUCACUUCAACCUCAGUUUUUUCUCCUGUCCUCGUUUCCUUUCCUUUCCUACUCUCAUCUCCUUGUUUGCCAUCUUAACCUUUUCUCUCUCUUUCCACUUGUUUUCGUUUCCUUGUUUCGUUUCCUAUCUCCCCACCUUGUUUCCUUUCAUUUACUCUCACUCUUUUGUUUUCUACUCUCCUUGUUUUCUUUCCUUGUCACCUUCACUUUCCUCAUCCUUGAACCUUUCCUCUCCUCUUCUUAUGUCUCCUUAUUUAGAGUUGCUGUCCUCUCUCCUCUCCUGUUCCCUCCUUUUUACUCCUUCUCUCUGUUUUAUCCUCCUUUUUCUAUCACUUGUCUUUUAUUCAAUUUGUUUCUCCUCUCCUUUCUUUCUUUCUUUCUUUCUUUCUUUUUUGUUUCCAUCUGUUCAUUUUCAUUUUUUCUUU
RNAcentral lists this long non-coding RNA (3074 nucleotides) under Xyrichtys novacula (pearly razorfish). The record is from RNAcentral. Lineage: Eukaryota; Metazoa; Chordata; Actinopteri; Labriformes; Labridae.